ACCACAUUUAAAAGAAUGUCUGUUUCCCCUCCCCCGGGUCUACCCUUUGUAAACAGACCAGGAAGGCAGGUUCUUUUUUUUUUUUUAACUGGAUGUGAUUGUCAUAGCAUGGUCACAUGAAUGGUUUGACUUGUCCAGUCCAGGCCACUUAUCAGUUGUUUGUGCUCAAUUUGAGUGUAUUUAUUUAGAUUAUCAAUCCUGCUGCUUUCAAGCACAUUCCAAAAAUGAAACAUUAUUUUCAGGAAAAAAAUAAUUUUGAUUUUUUUGUGGAAAAUAAUUUUUUGACCCAGGGGCUUAUUUUUGACCCGGGUGGGGGGAGGGG
Molecule: long non-coding RNA, 322 nt
Filed under: Mytilus galloprovincialis (Mediterranean mussel)
Lineage: Eukaryota; Metazoa; Mollusca; Bivalvia; Mytilida; Mytilidae
Source: RNAcentral